This 507-nucleotide ribosomal RNA is filed under the name uncultured Lachnospiraceae bacterium. RNAcentral's name for it is "partial 16S ribosomal RNA". Lineage: Bacteria; Bacillati; Bacillota; Clostridia; Lachnospirales; Lachnospiraceae. The record is from RNAcentral.
CACGUAGUUAGCCGGGGCUUCUUACUCAGGUACCGUCAUCUUCUUCCCUGCUGAUAGAGCUUUACAUACCGAAAUACUUCUUCACUCACGCGGCGUUGUUGCAUCAGGGUUUCCCCCAUUGUGCAAUAUUCCCCACUGCUGCCUCCCGUAGGAGUUUGGGCCGUGUCUCAGUCCCAAUGUGGCCGGUCACCCUCUCAGGUCGGCUACUGAUCGUCGCCUUGGUGGGCCGUUACCCCUCCAACUGGCUAAUCAGACGCGGGUCCAUCUCAUACCACCGGAGUUUUUCACACAAGAACAUGCAUCCUCGUGCGCUUAUGCGGUAUUAGCAGUCAUUUCUAACUGUUAUCCCCCUGUACUGAGCAGGUUACCCACGCGUUACUCACCCGUCCGCCACUCAGUCAAUCUAGCUUCCAUCCGAAACUUCCGCUAAAUCGCUUCGUUCGACUUGCAUCGUGUUAAAGCUACGCCGCCAGCCGUUCAUCCGUGAGUCCAGGAUCAACUCUACCG